UACCUCAAAUAACCACAACAGUCUGUUUCAUCCGUAUCCCUGAUGAUUCCUAUACGGAUGAAACAGACUGUUGUGGUUAUU
This is a non-coding RNA of Paramuricea clavata, 81 nucleotides long. The record is from the annotation of a GenBank genome assembly. Lineage: Eukaryota; Metazoa; Cnidaria; Anthozoa; Malacalcyonacea; Plexauridae.